Esox lucius (northern pike) is the source of this 1487-nucleotide long non-coding RNA. The record is from Ensembl. Lineage: Eukaryota; Metazoa; Chordata; Actinopteri; Esociformes; Esocidae.
UUUUUUUUUGCAUGCUUGUCACACUUAAAUGUGUCAGAUCAUGAAACAAAUUAAAAUAUUAGUCAAAGAUAACACAAGUAAACACAAAAUGCAGUUUUUAAAUGUGGGUUGUUAUUAUUAAGGUAAAACUAAAUCCAAACCUACAUGGCCCUGUGUGAAAAAGUGUUUGCCCCCCCUGUUAUAACAUAACUUAACUGUGGUUUAUCACACCUGAGUUCAAUUUCUCUAGCCACACCCCGCCCUGAUUAAUGCCACACCUGUCCUCAAUCAAGAGAUCACUGAAAUAGGACCUGCCCGACAAAGAGAAGUAGACCAAAAGAUUUUCAAAAGCUAGACAUCAUGUCGAGAGCCAAAGAAAUUCAGGAACAAAUGAGAAAAAGUAAUUGAGAUCUAUCAGUCUGGAAAAGGUUAUAAAGUCAUUUCUAAAGCUUUGGGACUCCAGCGAACCACAGUGAGAGCCGUUAUCCACAAAUGGUGAAAACAUGAAACAGUGGUGAACCUUCCAAGGAGUUACCCCAAGAGCACAGCGACGACUCAUCCAAGAGGUCACAAAAGACCCCACAACAACAUCCAAAGAGCUGCAGGCCUCACUUGCCUCAGUUAAGAUCAGUGUUCAUGACUCCACCAUAAGAAAGAAAUGGCCUGCAUGGCAGAGUUCCAAGAUGAAAAAAUUACAUUAAGGCUUGUCUCAUUUUUGCCAGAAAACAUCUUGAUGAUCCCCAAGACUUUUGGGAAAAUACUCUGUGGACUGACGAGACAAAAGUUGAACUUUUUGGAAGGUGUGAGUCCCAAUACAUAAAAGUAACAUCGCAUUUCAGAAAAAGAACAUCAUAGCAACAGUAAAAUAUGGUGCCGGCAGUGUUAUGGUCUGGGCCUGUUUUGCUGCUUCAGCACCUGGAAGACUUGCUGUGAUAAAUGGAACCAUGAAUUCUGCUGUCUUCCAAAAAUCCUGAGGGAGAAUGUUCGGCCAUGUUUUGGUGACCUCAAGCUGAAACGAACUUGGGUUCUGCAGCAGGACAAUAAUCCAAAAACACACCAGCAAGUCCACCUCUGGCGGGGAAAAAAUCAGGACUUUGGAGUGGCCUAGUCAAAGUCCUGACCUGAAUCCUAUUGAGAUGAUGUGGCGUGACCUUAAAAAGGCAGUUCAUGCUCGAAAACACUCCAGUGUGGCUGAAUUACAACAAUUCUGCAAAGAUGAGUGGGCCAAAAUUCCUCCACAGCGUUGUAAAAGACUCAAGUUAUCGCAAACGCUUGAUUGCAGUUGUUGCUGCCAAGGGUGGCCCAACCAGUUAUUAGGCUAUUACUUUUUCACACAGGGCCAUGUAGGUUUGGAUUCCCUUGUUUUCCCUUAAUAAUAACGACCUUCAUUUCAAAACUGCAUUUUGUGUUUACUUGUGUUAUCUUUGACUAAUAUUUAAAUUUGUUUGAUGAUCUGAAACAUUCAAGUGUGACAAACAUGCAAAAAAAUAAGGAAUCAGGAAGGGGGC